Molecule: ribosomal RNA, 442 nt
Filed under: uncultured bacterium
Lineage: Bacteria
Description: bacterial SSU rRNA
Rfam family: Bacterial small subunit ribosomal RNA
Source: RNAcentral
GAUUAACGCGAAGAACCUUACCAGCGUUUGACAUGCCAGGACGGUUUCCAGAGAUGGAUUCCUUCCCUUACGGGACCUGGACACAGGUGCUGCAUGGCUGUCGUCAGCUCGUGUCGUGAGAUGUUGGGUUAAGUCCCGCAACGAGCGCAACCCUCGUCUUUAGUUGCUACCAUUUAGUUGGGCACUCUAAAGAAACUGCCGGUGAUAAGCCGGAGGAAGGUGGGGAUGACGUCAAGUCCUCAUGGCCCUUACGCGCUGGGCUACACACGUGCUACAAUGGCGGUGACAGAGGGCUGCAAACCCGCGAGGGUGAGCUAAUCUCCAAAAGCCGUCUCAGUUCGGAUUGUUCUCUGCAACUCGAGAGCAUGAAGGCGGAAUCGCUAGUAAUCGCGGAUCAGCACGCCGCGGUGAAUACGUUCCCGGGCCUUGUACACACCGAAUC